Long non-coding RNA from Daphnia carinata, 3174 nucleotides. RefSeq lists it as uncharacterized. The record is from RefSeq and is a predicted model, not a curated record. NCBI's taxonomy places the organism in Eukaryota, Metazoa, Arthropoda, Branchiopoda, Diplostraca, Daphniidae. The transcript is spliced from 8 exons.
CCCAAGUGUGCAUAUGUUUUUCUUUGAUAAUUAUUUUAUUUUGCUACUAUGCUUGGUAAACUGCAAUUAUGCCCAAUAUUUUUACCUUUGCAUUUUAGGUCUUCUCUUCUAUGUCACUAAGUACUAUAGGGAAGGGAAUAACUGAAGUUGAUUGAGAUCUAUUCUGAUUCUCCUGAUAUCCAUCUCAACAGGUUUUUAUUUGCUUUUCAACAUCCAUUUCAUAGUGGGACGUGUGGCUUUGAUUAAUAUUGCCAUAAAGUCUGCCGAAAAUGGGUGUGGUACGGAAACCCAGAAACGGCAUGAGCUCAACAUCAAACAUGGAUUAGAAUUUUAGCGGGGGAUCAAGUCAAGUCUGGAAGUGUUACAGGAUGGAAGAGUGAGCCUACAGUUGAAAAAACACUGAGAGUGCAUUGCCGUUAAGGUAUGAGGUAAAGUAAUAGAGUAUGCAAAUUGUCUAAUGAGAAGUACCAUCUUGUGUGAAUGAAUCCUGUAUAACAGCAAUCCUUUAUAGUUCUGUCACAGCUAGAAGCCUCAAAUAAUUCUGCUUCUCUUGCUAAAGAACAACUUGUCCUUAACGUUCAGAGUGUUGGUGAAGCUGGGUACAUAAAUGGCCCUAAAGAUGUUUCACUUCGCUGGCAUUGCAGCGAUGAACAUCAUACAUGGACUCUUUAGGAAAGGAUUUUCAGCAUACUGGGAACACAGCUAUCAACAAUGCAACAUUCUACGGGUGCUAUUUUAUCAUUCAAGAGCCUUAUACAAUGAUUUUCAUCUGCAAUUUGUAUGGCCUUUCCCAAGCUUCUGCCAGAAGUUGAAUCUAUGAGUCAUGUAAGUCACAUGAGCAACAAUUGAGAUGCUUAAUGGUGUUUUGCUUUUCUCAGUAUAGGUUGAUAGUAACAUUGGAUCUGAAAAGAUUCUUGGUUGGGGCAAGACACGCAAGACCUAAGCACCCCCCCCCCCCAUUGACUACGCCAAAUGGGUUCUUGCUUAUCGGAUCCUUUAAUCGAUUUUCGAAAGGCCAAACGAUAUUCGUUCCGAAAAAACGCAACUAAAAACGCACUGGUUUUCCGACAUCAUCGUUGAAUUUCGAUUCAAAAUCAUGGGUUUUUAUAGCAAUCCAGAUUUCUGAGAAAAUAAAUGGCGACACAUGAUGUCUUUGAAGAGGAGGAGCCUGUGUCUGUCACAUCACGAGUCACGUCACGGGAAGCGAGUGGGUCGACAGGCAGCGCGUGGGCCGACGGGCAGAUGAGUGGGUCGACGGGCAGCGAGGGGGCCGACGGGCAGAACGGGGGCUGACGGGCAGAGAGAGGGUCUACGGGCAAUAACAGCGGGCUUCUUAGCGGGCAGAAGCAAAAAAUGGAUGGACGGACAACUAUAGCGGGGGUGUUGACGGGCCGAGACUGUGACGAAAGGGUGGGCAAAUGCAAAAAAAGGUAGAUGUUCCCCCAGUAGGCAUUUUUGGGGGCAGAAUGGGAGUUGACGGGCAGAGUGUGGGUUGACGGGCAGAGAGGGGGUCGACGGGUAAAGUGUGGUUGGGCAGAGAAAGUGAGGGGAUGGCCGGCAGAAACAAUGAGUGGGUCGGCGGGGAUGAAAGGGGAACUCUUGAUUGAUGAAUAGAAUUAAGAGUAGACGGGCAAAAAAUAGGCAUGGGUCAAUUUUCUUAAAAAUAGCGUAAAAAUACGCUAGCGCCAACUAUCCCCCGGCCGUGGACGGGCUCAACGUUACUAGUAAAUAAAUAAAGUGAGAGGGUUUGCGGGCAAAAAUAGGGAGUGUUUUAAUAUGAAAAAAGAAUUAAAAUUAGACGGCAAAAUAACGAAUAAAUUAGGCUCAAAUUAACGAUUGACCGACUAAAAUUAAGAAAAAGAAGCGUUAAAAUGCGCUAUCCCCAGGUCUUGCACGGGCAAAAGUUACUAGUGCGUUGCUAAACGUAAAAAAAAAUAUUAAUAUAAUUAUAAAAACAUAGAAUCGAACCCGUGAAAUCAGCAUGGUAGCCGUAUACUAAGCCAUAGCGCCAUACUACACUAUUCCAUUGCUUCAUAAGCUACCUAUUUCAAAGGGUGACACCCAAAGCAAAAUUUGUUUGGGAUGUGCGGUCCUGGCACAGUGGUUACCACCUUCGCUUCGCAUUCUGAGGGCCCCGGGUUCAAGUCCCGCCACCGCCAAUUUCCCUCCCUCCCUUUCCCUCCAAUUCAGCAUUCAAGAUACGCAAGAUUCUACUCAUUCAAGAAAGAAAAGAAGAAGAAAGAAAAAAAGAAGAAAGAAUAAAAGAAGUGAGAAAAAAAAGAAGCAAGAAUAAAAGAAGUGAGAAAAAAAGAAGAAAGAAUAAAAGAAGAGAGAAAAGAAGAGCCAUGCCUACUAUAACGGGGCUAAAUGGUACACCAGAAAAGCCUUGCCAGGCUAAAAAUGGCAAAAAAAAGCCUUGCCAGGCUAAAAAUGGCAAAAAAAGCCUUGCCAGGCUAAAAAUCGAUCUGUAGUACUGUUCACUACACGUUAAGGAUCGACCCACAAACUGAAGGGUGGAGAAGAGGGGAACAUUGAACGUAGGCUGUUCGUUAGCCUCCCCACGGCCUGAAAGACGGCUCGUGGAUGCAGACGCUUAUGAUCGGGAUAUGUGACCCAAUUCGAUACCUGAAAAUUAGCGCCACUUGGCGGCCGAAGAAAAUCUACCUAUCCCCCGGCGCUUCUGUGUUCAUCCAGGCUGCUACUCUUCAAACGUGGAGUCUUGCUGUCGCCUCUAAGAACCCCAUAGUACUACUUUUUCCAGCUCUCUUAGGUAUGCAAUGGAAGUUUUUGCAUGCUCAUAACUUUGUUCUAUACGCUCAGAAACGUCUUCAGCGAGCUCGAUUUGUUCAUAGUUCUGUUUUUGGAAUCAACGGCGAUAUGGAACAACAAAUAUACACAACAGUAUGUGGACAACAAGAAAGCUUUUGUUUGAAGAAAAAACUACAUCAGUAACCAGUUGCAGGUUCUCAUUCAUGAUUUACAUAGAAAACCGAUAAGAGUUUUUGGACUACCGUACUGCUUUUCGCAUGUUUGACGUUUAUCCGUCGAUAUCCAUGUUGCCAUGGCUAAAACAACAAAAAGGUUGGAAUCUAGAUACUACGUGCUUUCACUUUACGCUAUGUACUUCGAGGACUUUGCGUUUAGCUGUGAAAACCUUAUUCUUCUAUAAGCAAG